This 26-nucleotide non-coding RNA is filed under the name Gadus morhua (Atlantic cod). Lineage: Eukaryota; Metazoa; Chordata; Actinopteri; Gadiformes; Gadidae. The record is from RNAcentral. RNAcentral also lists the same sequence under 3 other names.
ACCUGGCAUACAAUGUAGAUAUCUGU